This 228-nucleotide ribosomal RNA is filed under the name uncultured bacterium. Its description in RNAcentral is "partial 16S ribosomal RNA". It matches the Rfam family "Bacterial small subunit ribosomal RNA", at positions 524 to 751 of the family's 1533-position model. The record is from RNAcentral.
UACGUAGGGUGCAAGCGUUAAUCGGAAUUACUGGGCGUAAAGCGUGCGCAGGCGGUUAUGUAAGACAGGUGUGAAAUCCCCGGGCUUAACCUGGGAACUGCAUUUGUGACUGCAUAGCUAGAGUACGGUAGAGGGGGAUGGAAUUCCGCGUGUAGCAGUGAAAUGCGUAGAUAUGCGGAGGAACACCGAUGGCGAAGGCAAUCCCCUGGACCUGUACUGACGCUCAUG